RNAcentral lists this transfer RNA (53 nucleotides) under Oxyuris equi. RNAcentral's name for it is "tRNA-Ile". The record is from RNAcentral. Lineage: Eukaryota; Metazoa; Nematoda; Chromadorea; Rhabditida; Oxyuridae.
UUAAGAAGGGAUUGUAGUUUAUGAGUAAAAUUUGGAUUUAGCAUUUCUGAGAA